UGCAAAUCAGCCGCUGUUCUAUUUAAAUGAGCGUGUGGCUCCGCCCCUUCUCGGGUGGCCGCGGAAGGUUACUGGUGGUGAAGUGCAAGCACUGGCCGGGAUUUAAGGUGGAACGCGGCAGCAUGCGGUGAUCAGGCAUUCUGUGGAGGUGGCAUCAUUCAAGGCUGCAGCAACAGCAGCUGGUAACUAAUAUAUCAUUGGAUUUACAGUCACAAUGGAAAGAAAAAUAAGUUUCAAGACAACCUUCCCUUAUAAGACAUGCUUAUUGACACUUCAGCUGUGGAGUGCAUCUGCACAGCACUGCUCUCCAGCUCCAUCCACGGUGCCUAUGGCCCACUGGGGUGCAAUGAGUUGGAGGUGACUCCAGGAGUGAAAGAUGGAUUUGUAAUACGCUACAAUCUCUAUUACUAUACAGUGCACUGCAAUCUUCAACUAAUCAUAGGUUAGAAUGAGUCCAAAUCCAAGAUAUCCCAACUUCAUAUACAUCAAAGAAUUGCUGCAGGACACUAUUGAAGAUUUUAUUGUUGCAAGUUUGGGAUGACCAAAUUAUUCAGGAGUGGCAGUCAAAAUGAGUUAUGUGGGUUCCUUAACAAAUAGCAAUUUCAUAGUACUUCAUUCUGUGACACCUUGUUUAUAUAACAUAUAAAUUGUCUUACUCUGUUUUUGGUAAUGAGUUAUAUAUUGUCCCUGUUCUGAACAGAUUAGUUACUAUGUUGGUCCAAUAAAAGA
Long non-coding RNA from Caretta caretta (loggerhead turtle), 729 nucleotides. RefSeq lists it as uncharacterized. Lineage: Eukaryota; Metazoa; Chordata; Testudines; Cheloniidae. The record is from RefSeq and is a predicted model, not a curated record.